This 773-nucleotide ribosomal RNA is filed under the name uncultured Neocallimastigales. Its description in RNAcentral is "partial large subunit ribosomal RNA". It matches the Rfam family "Eukaryotic large subunit ribosomal RNA", at positions 24 to 644 of the family's 3401-position model. Lineage: Eukaryota; Fungi; Neocallimastigomycota; Neocallimastigomycetes; Neocallimastigales. The record is from RNAcentral.
GCAUCUGUGCAUGCAGCAUAUCAAUAAGCGGAGGAAAAGAAACUAACAAGGAUUCCCCUAGUAACGGCGAGUGAAGCGGGAAGAGCUCAAAUUUGAAAUCUUAAAGGGUUUCCCUUUACGAAUUGUAGUUUAAAGAAGUGUUUUCUGUUGAGGUUUUGGUAAAAGUUCUUUGGAAUAGGACAUCAUAGAGGGUGAGAAUCCCGUAUUUGACCUUUACUUUCAACUUUGUGAUACACUUUCAAAGAGUCGGAUUGUUUGGGAAUGCAGUCCAAAAUGGGUGGUAAAUUUCAUCUAAAGCUAAAUAUUGGCGAGAGACCGAUAGCGAACAAGUACCGUGAGGGAAAGAUGAAAAGAACUUUGAAAAGAGAGUUAAACAGUACGUGAAAUUGUCAAAAGGGAAGCGUUUGACACCAGUGUUGUUUUUCUGAAAAUCAAUUAAAGAACUGUUUAUGCUAAGCUGUUUAGACUUUAUCAGCUAACUGUUUAGUUUUGAGCUUUUCUUUAAUGCACUUUUCAGUUAACAAGUCAACAUCAAUUUCUUUUGCUGUAAAAAAGCUUGAGGAAGGUGGCUUGAGAUUCGUCUUAAGUGUUUAUAGCCUCUUGCCUAUGCAGUCGGAGAGAUUGAGGUCUGCAGCGUAGAUCCUUCGGGGCUAAAUGCAUUUGUGCUAAGUUAUAGCAUUUUAUAGACAACUUGUUGACUAUGAUUUGUCUUGUAGCUUACUCGCUUAUGUUAUUUUACCUACGCUUAGGAUGUUGAAUCUGUGCGAGACUAC